Setaria italica (foxtail millet) is the source of this 846-nucleotide long non-coding RNA. RefSeq lists it as uncharacterized. The transcript is spliced from 2 exons. NCBI's taxonomy places the organism in Eukaryota, Viridiplantae, Streptophyta, Magnoliopsida, Poales, Poaceae. The record is from RefSeq and is a predicted model, not a curated record.
GUUUGGGGGACCAAGUCCAUCAUCGCAACCUGCCACUGCACGCCAGUGCCAGCAUGGCCAUGGCUCCUUGUUGUGUCCUUGUGUCCCUGUGAGGCAAGGGCACGAUCGAGGAAGAAAGGGAUGGCCUCCUACCGCUGGCCUCUACGUGAUGCGCGUGAAUUAAGAGCGUGUUUGGGUGACGGCCACAGCUUACUACGUCCCAAAUCAAAAGCCACACUUGUGGCGAGAUUUUGUGCUGGGAAGGCACGUGGCUGCUGUAGCUUUUGGCUGAACCAAGUAGCAGCCUAUACUAGCUUUUGUUUUGUGGCACGCCGCGUGUUAGGCGUGAACCACGGUGGGGAACCAAACACGCCUUGCAGUAUUAUUGAUAGCCAGGGAUCAGAAAUACGGAUUCCACCAAACAGCACAAACGAGGGGAGUGGCUGUCAAUUCUUAGGAUCAAACUCAGAAUUGUCCUUCUCUUUGGUGAUUGUCAUGCAUGCUCAUGUCUCAGAGGAUAUAGAAGUGGUUCACACAUGACACAUGGCUUCAUAUACUAUUGCUGACCUGCCGAUCCAUUCACGAUGUCUCGUCGCUUGUGCCACAAGGUUUCAUCCCCGGAAUGCUCGUCACUUUCAAAGAUCCAGAUGCGCCUCUCUGCAUGGCUUUUGGCCGUAGUGAUUAUGUUACGCCGCUCCUGCCCUCCUAGCCCGUUGUGAGUGUUUAUAAUAUACAAAUACACCACAUGACCACAGUAGCUAGCUGCUAAGCACUUGAUUGACGUACCCUAGUGUCGUUACGAAAACAAGAGUGAAAUGUACCAAUAGUGUACCGUAGGAUUCUAAACUACGUACUCCUGCAUUCUCA